UACGUAGGUGGCGAGCGUUGUCCGGAAUGACUGGGCGUAAAGGGAGCGUAGGUUGCGAUUUAAGUUAGAUGUGAAAGCCCGUGGCUCAACCACGGAAGUGCAUUUAAAACUGGAUUGCUAGAGUACAGGAGGGGUAAGCGGAAUUCCUAGUGUAGCGGUGAAAUGCGUAGAUAUUAGGAAGAACACCGGAGGCGAAGGCGGCUUACUGGACUGCAACUGACACUGAGGCUCGAAAGCGUGGGGAGCAAACAGGAUUAGAUACCCCGGUAGU
RNAcentral lists this ribosomal RNA (271 nucleotides) under uncultured bacterium. Its description in RNAcentral is "partial 16S ribosomal RNA". It matches the Rfam family "Bacterial small subunit ribosomal RNA", at positions 524 to 794 of the family's 1533-position model. The record is from RNAcentral.